GAUGAACGCUGGCGGCGUGCCUAAUACAUGCAAGUCGAGCGGUAACACUUCGGGUGACGAGCGGCGGACGGCUGAGUAACACGUAGGAACGUACCCCAACCUGAGGGAUAAGCACCGGAAACGUUGUCUAAUACCGCAUUUGGUCUUGGGAUUAAGGCUUCGGCGGCUUGGGAACGGCCUGCGCAUGAUUAGCUUGUUGGUGAGGUAAUAGCUCACCAAGGCGACGAUCAUUAGCUGGUCUAAGAGGAUGAUCAGCCAGACUGGGACUGAGAACGGCCCAGACUCCUACGGGAGGCAGCAGUAGGGAAUCUUCCACAAUGGGCGAAAGCCUGAUGGAGCAACGCCGCGUGCAGGAUGAAGGCCUUCGGGUCGUAAACUGCUUUUAUUGGUGACGAUUAUGACGGUAGCCAAUGAAUAAGGAUCGGCUAACUCCGUGCCAGCCGCCGCGGUAA
RNAcentral lists this ribosomal RNA (452 nucleotides) under uncultured bacterium. Its description in RNAcentral is "partial 16S ribosomal RNA". It matches the Rfam family "Bacterial small subunit ribosomal RNA", at positions 28 to 523 of the family's 1533-position model. The record is from RNAcentral.